RNAcentral lists this ribosomal RNA (432 nucleotides) under uncultured bacterium. RNAcentral describes it as "bacterial SSU rRNA". It matches the Rfam family "Bacterial small subunit ribosomal RNA", at positions 29 to 507 of the family's 1533-position model. The record is from RNAcentral.
AACGAACGCUGGCGGCAGGCCUAACACAUGCAAGUCGAGCGAGGACUUCGGUCCUAGCGGCGGACGGGUGAGUAACGCGUGGGAACGUGCCCUUUGGUACGGAAUAGCCCCGGGAAACUGGGAGUAAUACCGUAUGGUGUCUUCGGACUAAAGAUUUAUCGCCAAAGGAUCGGCCCGCGUUGGAUUAGGUAGUUGGUGGGGUAAUGGCCUACCAAGCCGACGAUCCAUAGCUGGUUUGAGAGGAUGAUCAGCCACACUGGGACUGAGACACGGCCCAGACUCCUACGGGAGGCAGCAGUGGGGAAUCUUAGACAAUGGGGGCAACCCUGAUCUAGCCAUGCCGCGUGAGUGAUGAAGGCCCUAGGGUUGUAAAGCUCUUUCAGCUGGGAAGAUAAUGACGGUACCAGCAGAAGAAGCCCGGCUAACUCCGUG